ACGGCAGCGCGGGGCAACCUGGCGGCGAGUGGCGAACGGCUGAGUAAUAUAUCGGAACGUACCCUGGAGUGGGGGAUAACGUAGCGAAAGUUACGCUAAUACCGCAUACGAUCUAAGGAUGAAAGUGGGGGAUCGCAAGACCUCAUGCUCCUGGAGCGGCCGAUAUCUGAUUAGCUAGUUGGCGGGGUAAAAGCCCACCAAGGCAACGAUCAGUAGCUGGUCUGAGAGGACGACCAGCCACACUGGAACUGAGACACGGUCCAGACUCCUACGGGAGGCAGCAGUGGGGAAUUUUGGACAAUGGGCGCAAGCCUGAUCCAGCAAUGCCGCGUGAGUGAAGAAGGCCUUCGGGUUGUAAAGCUCUUUUGUCAGGGAAGAAACGGUGGGGGCUAAUAUCCUCCGCUAAUGACGGUACCUGAAGAAUAAGCACCGGCUAACUACGUGCCAGCAGCCGCGGUAAUACGUAGGGUGCAAGCGUUAAUCGGAAUUACUGGGCGUAAAGCGUGCGCAGGCGGUUUUGUAAGUCUGUCGUGAAAUCCCCGGGCUCAACCUGGGAAUUGCGAUGGAGACUGCAAGGCUAGAGUUUGGCAGAGGGGGGUAGAAUUCCACGUGUAGCAGUGAAAUGCGUAGAUAUGUGGAGGAACACCGAUGGCGAAGGCAGCCCCCUGGGUCAAAACUGACGCUCAUGCACGAAAGCGUGGGGAGCAAACAGGAUUAGAUACCCUGGUAGUCCACGCCCUAAACGAUGUCUACUAGUUGUCGGGUCUUAAUUGACUUGGUAACGCAGCUAACGCGUGAA
RNAcentral lists this ribosomal RNA (799 nucleotides) under uncultured bacterium. RNAcentral's name for it is "bacterial SSU rRNA". It matches the Rfam family "Bacterial small subunit ribosomal RNA", at positions 66 to 863 of the family's 1533-position model. The record is from RNAcentral.